UAGAGUUUGAUCCUGGCUCAGGAUGAACGCUGGCGGCGUGCCUAAUACAUGCAAGUCGAGCGAUGAGGCUCCUUCGGGAGUACAUCAGCGGCGAACGGGUGAGUAACACGUGGGUGACUUGCCCCGAAGAUGGGGAUAACCUCUGGAAACGGGGGCUAAUACCCAAUGUGCUCGGUGAUUCGGUUCAUCGAGUAAAGCUCCGGCGCUUCGGGAGAGGCCUGCGGCCCAUCAGCUAGUUGGUAGGGUAACGGCCUACCAAGGCAGAGACGGGUAGGGGGCGUGAGAGCGCGGACCCCCACACUGGCACUGAGAUACGGGCCAGACUCCUACGGGAGGCAGCAGUAAGGGAUAUUGCGCAAUGGACGAAAGUCAGACGCAGCGACGCCGCGUGGGCGAUGAAGGCCUUCGGGUUGUAAAGCCCUUUUAUGGGGGAAGAGAAAAAGGACGGUACCCCAGGAAUAAGUCCCGGCUAACUACGUGCCAGCAGCCGCGGUGAAACGUAGGGGACAAGCGUUAUCCGGAUUCACUGGGCGUAAAGAGCGUUGAGGCGGUUCCGUAAGUUGGGCGUGAAAGCUCCGGGCUUAACUCGGAGAUGUCGUUCAAUACUGCGGGGCUUGAAGACAGCAGAGGAAGGUGGAAUUCCCGGUGUAGUGGUGAAAUGCGUAGAUAUCGGGAGGAACACCCGUGCGAAGCGGGCUUCUGGGCUGUUCCUGACGCUGAAGGCGAAAGCUAGGG
This 735-nucleotide ribosomal RNA is filed under the name uncultured organism. Its description in RNAcentral is "bacterial SSU rRNA". It matches the Rfam family "Bacterial small subunit ribosomal RNA", at positions 1 to 765 of the family's 1533-position model. The record is from RNAcentral.